UUACACCUACGGGACGCAGCAGUGGGGAAUAUUGCACAAUGGGGGGAACCCUGAUGCAGCGACGCCGCGUGAGUGAAGAAGUAUUUCGGUACGUAAAGCUCUAUCAGCAGGGGAGAAAAAAGGACGGUACCUGAGUAAGAAGCCCCGGCUAACUACGUGCCAGCAGCCGCGGUAAUACGUAGGGGGCAAACGUUAUCCGGAAUUACUGGGUGUAAAGGGAGCGUAGACGGCAAUGCAAGUCCGGAGUGGAAUGCGGCAGCUCAACUGCCGAACUGCUCUGGAAACUGUAUGGCUUGAGUGCAGGG
This 305-nucleotide ribosomal RNA is filed under the name uncultured bacterium. Its description in RNAcentral is "bacterial SSU rRNA". It matches the Rfam family "Bacterial small subunit ribosomal RNA", at positions 333 to 653 of the family's 1533-position model. The record is from RNAcentral.